AUGGUGAACAUUCCUAAAACCCACUGGGCUUUCUGUAAGAAGUGUGGCAAGCACCAACCCCACAAAACGGCACAAUACCAGGACUCCCUGUAUGCCCAGGGAAAGCGGCGUUAUGACAAGAAGCAGAGUGACUAUGGUGGGUAGACUAAGGCAAUUUUCUGGAAAACGGGUAAAAUUACAAAGGAGGUUGUGCUGAGGCUUGAGUGUGCUGACCCCAUCUGCAGAUCUAAGAAAAUGCUGGCUGUUAAGACAUGCAAACAUUUUCAACUGGGAGGAGAUAACAAAAGAAAGGGCCAAGUGAUCCAGUUCUAA
RNAcentral lists this long non-coding RNA (312 nucleotides) under Homo sapiens (human). RNAcentral's name for it is "non-protein coding lnc-FOXB1-8:1". The record is from RNAcentral. Lineage: Eukaryota; Metazoa; Chordata; Mammalia; Primates; Hominidae.